GGGCUGCAGUGGGGAAUCUUGCGCAAUGGGGGAAACCCUGACGCAGCGACGCCGCGUGGAGGAUGAAGGCUUUCGGGUUGUAAACUCCUUUUGUAGGGGAAAAUAAUGAUGGUACCCUACGAAUAAGCCACGGCUAACUCUGUGCCAGCAGCCGCGGUAAGACAGAGGUGGCGAGCGUUGUUCGGAAUUACUGGGCUUAAAGGGCGAGUAGGCGGCGGGACAAGUCUGGUGUGGAAUCUUAGGGCUUAACCCUAAAACUGCAUCAGAAACUGUUUUGCUUGAGUCAGUGAGGGGAGGGCGGAAUUCCUGGUGUAGCGGUGAAAUGCGUAGAUAUCAGGAGGAAGGCCGGUGGCGAAGGCGGCCCUCUGGCACUGUACUGACGCUGAGGCGCGAAAGCGUGGGGAGCAAACAGGAUUAGAUACCCCAGUAGUC
This 432-nucleotide ribosomal RNA is filed under the name uncultured Nitrospiraceae bacterium. RNAcentral's name for it is "bacterial SSU rRNA". It matches the Rfam family "Bacterial small subunit ribosomal RNA", at positions 346 to 795 of the family's 1533-position model. Lineage: Bacteria; Pseudomonadati; Nitrospirota; Nitrospiria; Nitrospirales; Nitrospiraceae. The record is from RNAcentral.